UUGUGUUUCUACCAGUACAGCACUUGACCUUAGGAGUGAUUAGAUAGGCAUCAUGUUUAUCAAAUUUUCAUGGUUGAUUACUUGUGAUCAUCAAUCAUGUGUACGUGUAGGUUUGAUCACCUUUUACUUCUUCCUCAUUAUCCUUUCAAGCUUGUGAACUUCUCAUGCUGCUGCUGCACCUGACAAUAUUGGGCACACACUGAAAGUAGGCGACACUCUCAAUUCCUCUAGUGCCUUAGUUUCUGCCUCUGCGGACCUGCCAUGUAUGCAACUCAUACAUGAAUUCUAAUGGACCUGCUGGUGUGAUGGACUUCAAAAUGAUGGAAGGGUGGGUCAUGGUUUAAGCGUAUUUAGUUUUACAUCUGUGCUGGAGGCCACAUGCAACUUCUCUGAAGAAAACAAGCUUGGAGAAGGGGGAUUUGGACCUGUUUAUAAGGGAAAACUAGUGAUGGGACAAGAAAUAGCAGUGAAGAGGCUCUCAAAAUGUUCCGGGCAAGGAACUUUAGAGUUUAAGAAUGAAUUGAUCCUCAUAUAUGAACUUCAACAUACAAACCUUGUUCAGCUUUAUGGAUUUUGAUUGCAUUCAUGGUGAAGAGAGGAUCUUGAUAUAUGAGUACAUGCCAAACAAGAGUUUAGACUACUUUUUAUUUGGUAAACUAGUAGACAAUUUGGUAAUUGUUUCUUUUGUUCUGCAUGAAGAAUCAAGGGUGGACCGCCAUUUAGCUACUAACUAUGUAGUUCAAUAAUUAAAACCAUCCAUUCAUUAGGUCACUCUUCAAGGAUUUUACUUACAAGAAUCAGCCAUGUUAUUGGUCAUCCCAUUUGUGCAGAUAAUCAGAGUCAAUUUGUCUGAUGAAAGUGGAAUGCAGAUAACAGUAAUUUGAAUGGCUGAAUAACUCCUGACUUGGCUGAUAUUUGACCAUGAUUAUCCUUGAAUGAGGACCUAAAAAGUAGAUGGCCCUUAGCAUUGAACUGCAGUUGUAGGAGAAAGUGCGCAAACAUGAAGGUCCAUUCUGAAUCUUCUUGUAUAUAUCUGUAUUACUUAAUUUCUAAAUUUCUUUACAUAUUGGCCAGAUUCAACCAGAGGCGUUCUUCUAGAUUGGAAUAGGCGUUUCAGCAUAAUUGAAGGAAUUGCUCAAGGUUUUCUUUCUUUGCACAAAUACUCAAGAAAGAGAGUAGUUCACAAAGAUCUAAAAGCCAGUAACAAUCUACUUGAUCAAAAUAUGAAUCCAAAAAUUUCUGAUUUUGGUAUGGCAAGGAUUUUUGCGCAUAACGAAUUAGAAGCAAAUACUAGUAGGAUUGUUGGGACUCGUGGUUAUGCCUCCUGAGUAUGCCAUGGAAGGAUUUUUUUCCACAUUCUGAAAUCAUAAGCGGUAGGAAAAACAACAGAUUCUACAAUGACGAUCGUGGGCUCAAUUUAGUAGGAUGUUAAACAAAUCUCAGCAGUAAUGAUUGUAUCAGUGAGAUACGGAACUGAUAUAAACUAAUCUUGUUAAUUUCAGGCAUGGAAGUUAUGGAAAGAAGGUGCAGGGCUAAAUUUAAUGGAUACAACACUAGGCAUAUCAUUCAAUACGGAUCAACUGUUAAGAUGCGUCCAUGUUGGUCUGCUAUGUGUUGAGGAUAAUGCAGCCAAUCGACCUACGAUGUCAGAUGCAAUAUCUCUGUUGAUAUCUGAAAGCUUGCCAUUACCUGCACCUACAAAGCCUGCAUUUUCGGCAGAAAGGAAUGCGCCUAUUGCUGGUAUAGUCGGGACGGAACCAGAAAUUUUAUCAGUAAAUGGUUUGACCAUUUCUAAUUUAGUUGCACGUUAGAGGUACUUAAAUAUUGCAUACGGGUUCUAGCUCAUCAACUAGUAUUGAGAUGGGUGAGAAAGUGGUAGUUUUCGGUUUGAUUUAUGCUUGUUGUGCCGCAAUGUUUUGUACAUCCAAGUGUUUUAGUACUUUGGUUAGAAUGUUAUUACCAUAACCAAGUUUCCCCAAUGGCCGUUGCUCAGUUGGUAAUGAAAUCUUGGCCUUGGACCCUGUCAUUAGUUGUGGCACAUUCUUUUCUCCAGAGGAAACUUGGUGAUAAGAGUAAUAUGUGGCUGUUUAACUGUAACAACUUCACUGAACCUAAUUCUAAUGGGCAUUACAAGCUUAUA
This is a long non-coding RNA of Rosa rugosa (rugosa rose), 2140 nucleotides long. RefSeq lists it as uncharacterized. The transcript is spliced from 4 exons. The record is from RefSeq and is a predicted model, not a curated record. Lineage: Eukaryota; Viridiplantae; Streptophyta; Magnoliopsida; Rosales; Rosaceae.